ACUUUUAAAGGAUGGUAGUUAUUCCAUUGGUCUUAGGAGCCAAAAAAUUGGUGCAACUCCAAAUAAAAGUA
RNAcentral lists this transfer RNA (71 nucleotides) under Capra hircus (goat). RNAcentral's name for it is "tRNA-Leu". Lineage: Eukaryota; Metazoa; Chordata; Mammalia; Artiodactyla; Bovidae. The record is from RNAcentral.